Molecule: long non-coding RNA, 4522 nt
Filed under: Diabrotica virgifera virgifera (western corn rootworm)
Lineage: Eukaryota; Metazoa; Arthropoda; Insecta; Coleoptera; Chrysomelidae
Description: uncharacterized LOC126889499
Source: RNAcentral
CGAUUCAAAGAGUCACAUUAUACAUGAUACGCACACGUUUCCACACCACCUGUAGUGUACUCGGCGCGUUUUUUUACCGUGGUUUCCCCUGUAGGCCUACUUCACUAACUGUUUUGACAAUUUUAGGAUAAUUUAAGGAAACAAUACCGGUCAAGUUCUAGAUAUUACCUCCCUAAUAGCACACGACGUCCUUUGGACGUCCAAAAUAGGUCCAUUUUUGGUCCUUACGUCCAUGGACUAUAAACGGACGUCCUUUGGACGUCCCAUGUUGGACGUCCUUCGGAAGGAAUAAAUAUGGACGUCCUUUGGACGUCCGACGUUGGACGUCCUUCGGACGGAAUAAAUAUGGACGUCCUUUGGACGUCCGACGUUGAACGUCCUUUGGACCUCCAUACUGGACGAAAUACGGACGUUUUAUGAACGCUUAUAUAUUUUAUAUUGGACACAUUAUUACGGGAUCAAAUAGCAAAAUAAUUCAAUAAAAUAUUAACUUACGCGUUAACUUUACGUUAAUGAAAUACAGUCAAACCUGUCAGUAACGGCCACUAAAAUGAAAGAACUAUUGGCCGAUAUAGAAAGGUGGCCGUUAUUGCCAGUUUUUGUAGUCUAGAUAUACAGUAAAACUUGUGUUACUGGCCACCUGAUAAAAUCGGCCACCUGUACUAACUGCCGGUUUAAAUAUUCCCCAAACCAAUUAUAUCUGGACUACAAAAACUGGCAAUACCGGUCACCUUUCUAUAUCGGCCAAUAGCUUUUUCAUUUUUAGUGGCCGUUACUGACAGGUUUUACUGUAAUUGGUUUGGGGAAUUUUUAAACUGACCGUUAGUACAGGUGGCCGGUGUUUGCAGGGGGCCGGUAACACAGGUUUUACUGUAGUUUAAAUCGAAAAGAUUAAAUCUUAAUUCAAAAUUGUAUAUACAAUUAUUACAAUUAUAAACAAACUAUAUAGUUUAAUAUCCAAAACAUGUUUUUGAUUUUAUGUAAUGUAAUGAAAAUCUUAUUUGUAAAUUAUUGGUUACAAUGUUUAACAAUAGGAAAUAUUCAAGAAUAAAUAAAAUAAAAGUUUAAUCCUAACAACACAAAACAUUCCAGGAAUAUAGGUACUACCGUUCUAUUCCGUGAACAUCUAUCUGAUUAAAUUAUAUUAUGGGUGGAAAGUUACCACAAGAUAUUCUAUGAACAUAGUACAAUGUCUUCCUGGAGGGGUAAAAUUUUCCAUUACAAGAGGCCAUUUACUGUUCAAUUUGCGUUCAUUUUCAAAUUUGCCGCGCGAGUAUCUAUGUAGCGUCGCGUGGUCAUUGGUCAUCACAUUUCAUUUUCAUAAGAUAAAAGAUAACCUAAAAAUUUAGUAAAAAUUUUGAUUGGAAAAAAAUGCAUCGAUAAGGGGGUGUGGGAAAUGGAAAUUAGUGGCUUUUCUGCUGUACUGUCUGCUAGUCAAAUCACACAACACUUUUUUCUAUGCUGCUAGUUUUUGCUCUGGGCUCUGGCUGGAUCUCUUGUUUAAACAAUUUUAAUCAGCUGAAAGUGGCCUACAAAAAAAAACCAAGAAGGAAAUAUAUAGCCUUGUGGCUAUGAAAGGCAAAAGAGAGAUAUAAAAAGUGUAUUGGCUAGUUGGAAGAAAGUCCACAUUGUCCAUGCAUAAUAAGUUAUUACUUUAUCAACAAAUAUCAAGAAGAUAGCAGGGUCACGAGCAACAACUUCAUAAGUUCAAGAAUAUCGAGGAAAUCCAGCUCCUCGAUACUACUGGGCAAACUAGAAGAUUGAAGAGGACAAAGCCUUUUGAACUAGUUUGAGUGAUAGGUGAUAGUGAAAAACGGAGCAUAGUGCUUGUGUGCUGUGCCUGUGUAUGUUAGAAUAGUGCACGAUCUUGUUAGAUUAGAUAAGAGACGCUAUGGGGUAAGCUCUUCAUUUUAAGAAACAGUAGUAAUUUAGGUUAAAUUAAAAUUGCUCAUUGGUCAGUUAUGACCAGAUUGUUUUUUUAUGUUUGGCAAAAAGGACUUAAGUCAGAAUUGCACAUUGAUAAUGUUUUGAUGAUUUCUGGACCAGAAAAAAACUGUUGUAGAUGUAAACUGUAUGUACAGUAGAAUCUACUACAGUACUGUAGAAAUCAUCAAAACAUUAUCGAUGUGCAAUUCUGACUUAAGCCCUUUUUCCCAAACAUCAGAGAAUUGUAAUGUACAAUAAUUCUCCUAUCUGCUUUUUCAUGAAUUUUGUAGGAGAUGAAAAACCAUUUUUAGGAUCAUCUGCUUUCACAUGUAAAUUUUGACAUGUUUUGUAGUAAAUAGAUAGUUGAAUUUACUACAAAACAUGUCAAAAAAUAUAUGAAAACAGGAGGUGACUAUAAAAAAAGUUUUUAGUCUCUCUUACAAAACUCAUGAAAAAACAAAUCGGAGGUAUGUCACAUCAGUGACUAUAUCCAGGGAAUGUCUAAAAAAUAUACUUUGAUGUCCCAAGAACCAAAUAUAACCUACAGUCCAUCUAAUUUACUUACUGUUGCACGUCAUUAUCUACGCCAGAGAUCUAAGUUGACAUAGUUGCCAAAGUAUAAAAAGAUCCUGAAUCCAUUUUAAAUCAAAUAUAUCACAUAAUUAUUGUAAACGUGGAUUAUACAACAAAACAAAUUAAUAUUCAAUGUAAAUAAGUAAAAACUUAAGAAAUAGAGAACAAGAAUUAAGUUAUAAUCUUUUAAGAUUUGCAGUGCAAGAGUUUUUGCACUGCAUUGUUAAUAAUUAAAAAACGGCUCCGAACUCUUGGCAAACAGCUGGUAGGUUUCUUUGUAUAAGUUUGUCUACAAUAACAACUAAAAAAGUUGUCAGAUACCUCGAUUAUUCCAAGUCGUUAUAAAAUUAGGUGAAAUUUAUAUUUUUAUAGUAGAGGAUCUUUUUAUAGUAAAGUAAAUAAUAAAAACAGUAAAUAUAAUAAAUAAAACAGAUACUUAUAGUAAAGAAUAUAAACAAAUAUGAAGUGUCAUCACCGUAACUGUCAAAUAAAUGUUACCAAUUUAUUCUAAAAUGUCACCUUCGUUCGAUUACAGUUACAGUGUGAUCCGAACAAAUCUGCUUCAUAAAAACGCUUUAUAAUCCAUUUAUACAAAUUAAAUGAAACAUAUUAUUGUGUAUUUCUUUAGGUUAACAUUAAUAGAAAUCUUCAAAUAUUAUUUCUACGCGUAUAUAAUAAAAUAUGUCUAGUGGCUGUAAUUCCAUUGUACUCGGCAAAGUGAUUCUAAAAAAGAACACACCUACCGCCUAAAUAUUUCAGUUAAAAUAAAUAACAGUUAGUAAAUUAGACGAAGUAUGUAGAUAUAUACAGGGUGUAACAAAAAUACAGGUCAUAAAUUUAAUCACAUAUUCUGGGACCAAAAAUAGUUUGAUUGGACCUAACUUACCUUAGUACAAAUGUGCACACAAGAAAAGUUACAGCCCUUUGAAGUUAUAUAUAUAUAAUAGCACUAAGGGCCUUAGAGGCCCAUGGCUUGAAAAGUUUGUUUUUUUCUUCAUUUUCACGUUUCUUUAUGUACUGAGAUCUUCUCUGGCUUGAUAUGUGAUUUUUCUCCAUUCCUUCCUGUUAUUCAUUUUUCUUUUCUGACCCUGUAGCACCAUUCUUUCCAAAUCUUUUUCGACCUCUUGCUUCCAUCUAUUUUUCGGCCUUCCUCUUCUCUUUCUUGAAGCUGUAGUGUAGUUUAGUACCAUUUUUGGAGUCCUCGUGUUUGGCAUCCUUUCAAUGUGACCUCGCCAUCUAAGUCUCUGUGCCUUUAUCACUCAUUUGAAGUUACAAGAUGAAGUGAUUUUUUCCAAUAUAUCGAAAACUAUUAGAGAUUUUUUAUUGAAAAUGGACAUGUGGCAUUAUUAUGGCAGCAGUAUCUUACGAAAAAACUAUAGUAAAAUUUGGACACCCCAUAAAAAUAUUUUGGGGGUUUUGUUCCUUUAAACCCCCCCAAACUUUUGUGCACGUUUCAAUUUAAUUAUUAUUGUAGUACCAUUUAAACACAACGUUUUAAAAACUUUUUUGCCUCUUAUUGCUUUUUCGAAAAGUCAAUUUUUAUCGAAAUAUUUUGAAUAUUUGUCAAAUCCACCACAUAUUUGUAUAUGGUUAAGUACAAUUAUGGAGACUUGGUAAUAAUAUGCAGACUUAUUUAUGCUUUACAUUUUUAGGUAUAUUUUGAACCAUAUUAAAAAAGAAGCCAGAUCUCGAUAAAAUGUGCCUUAUCGAAAAAAUACAAAGAGGCAAAAAAGUUUUAAAAACAUUCUGUUUAACUAAUGGUACCUCAGUAAUAGUUUAGUUUAAUUGGAACGUACACAAACAUUUGGGGGGUUUAAAGGAACAAAACCCCCAUAAAAUUUUUAUGUAGACAUGUUAAAAAAGAAGUCGCAACUCGAUAAAAACUGCCUUAUCUGAAAAAUACUAAGAAACAAAAAUAUUGAAUUUAACUAAUGGUACCACAAUAAUAAAAUUGAAUUGGAACGUACACAAAAGUUUGGGAGGAUCUAAGGGAUCAAGACCCCCAUAAAAAUUUUAUGGGGUG